Molecule: unclassified non-coding RNA, 221 nt
Filed under: uncultured fungus
Lineage: Eukaryota; Fungi
Description: sequence contains ITS1, 5.8S rRNA gene
Rfam family: 5.8S ribosomal RNA (bases 173-221)
Source: RNAcentral
UUUCCGUAGGUGAACCUGCGGAAGGAUCAUUAUCAAAACAGCGGACUUCGGUCCUUGCUGCACCCUUGUCUUUUGCGUACCGUAUGUUUCCUCGGCGGGCUUGCCUGCCGGUUGGACAACUUUAUAACCUUUUUGUAGUUGCAAUCAGCGUCAGAAACAAAACAAUAAUUACAACUUUCAACAACGGAUCUCUUGGUUCUGGCAUCGAUGAAGAACGCAGC